This is a long non-coding RNA of Aedes albopictus (Asian tiger mosquito), 386 nucleotides long. RefSeq lists it as uncharacterized. The transcript has 2 exons. Lineage: Eukaryota; Metazoa; Arthropoda; Insecta; Diptera; Culicidae. The record is from RefSeq and is a predicted model, not a curated record.
CCCGCUCUGCGGCAAUUCUACCUGGGUACUUCGUGUCUACUUAGCUUAGACACCUUAGCUAAGACACGCAUUGUUUUUUCAUGGAUUUAGUUUUAGUGUGCAACAUUUUGUGUUUUUUUUAGUUUUAGUGUGCAAACUUUUGACGUUUGAUUUCGCCUGUUUUGUUUUGCAUCAUUUCAUCAACAACCGCCGCGAAAAAAAAAACAAAAAAAAAGCUGUUCGUCGCGGAACGCAAAAAAAUGUUGAAGAUUGUGCCAAGGAUUGCACCGAUUGCACCAGUGGUCACCCCAAUGGACGACGCGGGAUGGACAUCGAUCUUCCGUAUGAAUUCAAGUAUUUGGUCUGUCUGGAUCGACUGCGGCUGCCAGUCGGUAGGCGGUGAGGAA